UGGCAGACUUCGUUGAGGCUAUGACUACAAACUACAAUUUUCGUUUAGCCUCACCCAGUUUUCCACG
This is a microRNA precursor of Caenorhabditis elegans, 67 nucleotides long. The record is from Ensembl. Lineage: Eukaryota; Metazoa; Nematoda; Chromadorea; Rhabditida; Rhabditidae.